GACGAACGCUGGCGGCGUGCCUAAUACAUGCAAGUAGAACGCUGAAGAGAGGAGCUUGCUCUUCUUGGAUGAGUUGCGAACGGGUGAGUAACGCGUAGGUAACCUGCCUUGUAGCGGGGGAUAACUAUUGGAAACGAUAGCUAAUACCGCAUAACAAUGGAUGACACAUGUCAUUUAUUUGAAAGGGGCAAUUGCUCCACUACAAGAUGGACCUGCGUUGUAUUAGCUAGUAGGUGAGGUAAUGGCUCACCUAGGCGACGAUACAUAGCCGACCUGAGAGGGUGAUCGGCCAAACUGGGACUGAGACACGGCCCAGACCCCUACGGGAGGCAGCAGUAGGGAAUCUUCGGCAAUGGGGGCAACCCUGACCGAGCAACGCCGCGUGAGUGAAGAAGGUUGUCGGAUCGUAAAGCUCUGUUGUAAGUCAAGAACGGGUGUGAGAGUGGAAAGUUCACACUGUGACGGUAGCUUACCAGAAAGGGACGGCUAACUACGUG
RNAcentral lists this ribosomal RNA (497 nucleotides) under uncultured bacterium. RNAcentral describes it as "partial 16S ribosomal RNA". It matches the Rfam family "Bacterial small subunit ribosomal RNA", at positions 28 to 507 of the family's 1533-position model. The record is from RNAcentral.